UUAUCAUCUCUCACUGUGGAGGUGGUCGCCUGUCGAUCCAGGCAGGGCCUUAUGGGCUGCCCUGGCAGAGUAUUAUUCUCCAUUUCAAGAUGCCUAUGCACUUCAGAUAAAUACAAACUGACAACUCUCAAGGACAGGACAGAGGAAAUAUCAUUGCUGCGUGAAGCCUGCCCUUAAGAGAGAAAAGCCCCUGAUUAUAUUUUGAAAUGCUGCGGAAGUUGCGGCGGAGGAGACUUUUUUCUUAUCCCACGAAAUACUACUUCUUGCUCCUUGGUUUUUUCGUGAUCACCUUCUCUGUUUUAAUAAUUCAUCAAAAGCCCGAAUUUGUCAGUGUUGGACAUUUGGAGCUGGAUGGAGAGAAUCCUGGUAGUAACAUUAACUGCACUAAGAUUUUACAGGGUGAUGUAGAUGAAAUUCAAAAGGCAAAGCUUGAGAUUAUAACAGUGAAAUUUAAAAAUCGCCCUCGGUGGACAACCUAUGACUAUAUAAACAUGACCAGGGAUUGUACUUCAUUCAUCAAGAAUCGCAGAUACAUUGUCGAACCUCUUAGUAGAGAAGAAGCAGAGUUCCCAAUAGCAUAUUCUAUAGUAGUUCAUCACAAAAUUGAAAUGCUUGACAGGCUCCUGCGAGCUAUCUAUAUGCCUCAGAAUUUCUAUUGCAUUCACGUGGACAAAAAAUCAGAGGAGUCCUUUUUGGCUGCAGUGAUGGGCAUUGCAUCCUGUUUCAGUAACGUCUUUGUAGCCAGUCAGUUGGAGAAUGUGGUGUAUGCAUCGUGGAGUCGUGUUCAGGCUGACCUCAACUGCAUGCAGGACCUCUACAGCAUGAAUGCAAACUGGAAGUACCUGAUCAAUCUUUGUGGCAUGGAUUUUCCUAUUAAAACCAAUCUGGAAAUUGUCAGGAAACUCAAAUCAUUAAUGGGUGAAAACAACCUAGAAACGGAAAGAAUGCCAGCGAAUAAAAAAGAAAGGUGGAAAAAGCAUCAUAUAGUCGUUGAUGGAAAGCUGACAAACACCGGGACUGACAAAAUGCCCCCGCCUCUGGAAACAGCUCUGUUUUCAGGCAGUGCCUAUUUUGUAGUCAGUAGGCAGUAUGUGGAUUACGUACUCAAGAAUGAAAAAAUCCAGAAAUUCAUAGAGUGGGCAAAGGACACAUACAGCCCAGAUGAAUACCUCUGGGCCACUAUUCAGAGGAUCCCUGAAGUGCCAGGGUCACUGUCUUUAAGCCACAAGUAUGACAUGUCUGACAUGCAUGCAAUCGCCAGGUUUGUCAAGUGGCAGUACUUUGAAGGUGACAUUUCCAAGGGUGCCCCCUACCCGCCCUGCAAUGGGGUCCACCUGCGUUCUGUGUGUGUUUUCGGAGCAGGGGACUUGAACUGGUUGCUGCACGUUCACCACUUGUUUGCCAAUAAGUUUGACACGGACAUCGACCUCUUUGCCAUCCAAUGUUUGGAUGAACAUCUGAGGCAUAAAGCUCUGGAGGAAUUGAAACACUGACCAUUGCAAGCAUUCUUACACAUUUGAAGGAUAGAUGCGAUGCACCUUAUGUGAUUCCGAUGCGCCUUUAAUAAAUCCAUAGGGGUCGCUGUUUGGGCCAAGGACUCUGAAUCAUCAUGUUAAGAAAAGCUACGUGGCUUCUGCAGUGCAUAGUUGUUAGAAGGGGUUUGCUGUUGAUUGCUGACCUAUAGUUAACCUUGAGGUCCUCACCAGCAUUGUGGGGCGAAGAGGCCCAGGCAGCCAGAGAAGAGACAGCUGCAAGAAUCAGCCUAUUAAAAAACCUCAGGGACUUAAUAAUACUCUAAAAUUUGACCUGUGCCAAGAUUACUUAGCCUGAUUUGAAUAACUUUAUAGCAACAAGUAAUUAUAAAGAUGUAAUUUAUCUUGUAGGUUUAUGUGUUGAAAUAGGAAUUUGACUAUCCUCUAAAUGAUCCUGUAAAUCUAUACUGUGUAGCAUGAAGUAUGUAUGUCAUCUCAGGGAACUCAAAAAAUAAGACACGAUUGAAGAAAUGAAGGCUCUUCGGAUGGUCCUGUGUCCAGCCUCUUACAGCCUUUCAUCCCUGUGUCGCCUGGGCCUCCGCUGAAGUGGUCUGGUCUCCGACCUUGCUUCAUGUUACCAGCCAUCCGCUAUUCCUAGGCCGGUUGUUCCUGAGGCUCUUUCCCACCACCUACUGUGGAGAGGGACAGGUGUGCUGCCCUUCCAGGCAGGGCACUUGAAUGCCUGAGGAGCCUUUAUGAAAGGAACGUUGGGUUUGUGUGAGGCGAGAUUAUCUCCAUAUCGGCAAUGCUCAGCCUAUGGUUUUUACUCUACAUUUUCACUAAAAGAUAUGAUUUGAGGUUGCGAUUGUCCUGCUGUCUCAUACUUCAAAGUAGUAAAUUAAGAUUUUUUUAAAGUUUGCUGUUUGCUGAACUGAUGGACACUCUUUUCGGCCAAAGAUCUAAUGGGAAAUAGGAAGCUUUAUCAUUUACCUGAGGUUUUAAACCAGAAUCAAAAGGAUGAUUUUUUUUAAUACAGCAAACUUAAAUGGUACAUGAGAAAUUCACAUUAUCAGUUUUUUCAGGCAUUCAACUGGGAAAACUUUAUUCCUCAAAAUUAGAAACCAUUUUCAUUUUUAUCAGUAGCUUUGUUAUUCUGAUCCUCCUGAAUGGUCACAUUUUCAAGUAUAUUGCUGUUGCUUGUAUGAUUUAACAUGAUUAUUCGACCAAGAAAAGCAUACUUGGUUUGAAACUCAGGAGAUGACAUCAGUGAAUGCAGUCUAUACAUAAUGCUGUCCCUGUUGGCUUCUAGACCAGUUUGUUCUUCUAAUGUCAGAAUUUUCUCCCAUGUUUGCUCUCUUCAAAGAAAGGCUUUACCUUUGAGUUAGGGCAUUAGUUCUUUACCCUAAGACCACUGGUUUUCAGUGAUCCACACUUUGUGUCUAUGUCUUGUAUUUUUUUUUUGCUUCAUAGUGUCUUGUCUGACAGACUUUAUUCACAUCAUAAUUUGAAAAUUUACAAAUUUCCUGGAAAGCGAAAACAAUGGUACAGUGAACAAAUCGAGCCCUUGCCUGGAGUCAGUGGUUGUUGGUAUCAUGCCCACUGCUGUUAAUUGUAUGGAGUUUUUAAAUUUAGCAAAAUUGAAAAUUAUUCCACGUUUUCAUCUUUGCACUCUUACUGUAGUGUGACUGCAUCUGAUGUACAUUCAGACUGGCAUGUCUUAAGGGACUUUUUUUCCUCACAGACACAAAAAAUUGGGCUUUGGAGUCCACUUCCUUAAGUUUCAUAGUAAAACUGGACACAUUCUCUUUUAUAGCUGUGAUACCUCCUCACUCAAAGGUACCUUGUUGCUAAUACCUGGUUUUAGAGUUUAUACAGAAUUUGUUCACUGGGUCUCUUAUUUUACACUUUACAGCAUAAUGUAAGGUAAUUGGUAUUCAUGCUACUGGGGUGGGCAGUUUGAAGAAUCAAGCAGGGCUUCAGAAAGAAUCUUGUAGCAUAGUCAGGAAGUAAAAUGGAAAUACUUUGGGAAAGAUAAAUUAUUUAAAUAGAUUCACAUGUCAGCUUUUAAAUAAUAAAUUCUUUUUAUAGUUAUUUAUGGUUUUUACAGGGAAUUAUAGAAAUCAUUCACAAAUACUUAAACAACGUAAACUGCAGUUUUGUGGUGGAUAUAUCAUGUCAAAUGUAAAAUAAAUGCAAGACUUCCUGGCAAGUGUGAAUGCACAUGGGUAUGACUGAAUGCAUUUGGAACUAGU
Molecule: RNA transcript, 3724 nt
Organism: Condylura cristata (star-nosed mole)
Lineage: Eukaryota; Metazoa; Chordata; Mammalia; Eulipotyphla; Talpidae
Gene: GCNT1
Gene name: glucosaminyl (N-acetyl) transferase 1, core 2
Exons: 3
Source: RefSeq, a predicted model, not a curated record